RNAcentral lists this long non-coding RNA (2225 nucleotides) under Homo sapiens (human). RNAcentral describes it as "HSALNT0346710". Lineage: Eukaryota; Metazoa; Chordata; Mammalia; Primates; Hominidae. The record is from RNAcentral.
GAAUAGCAUUGAAUCUAGAAACUGCUUUGGGCAGUAGGGCCAUUUUAAUAAUAUUGAUUCCUCCUAUGCAUAUGGCUCAACAAUUUUAAUCAGGAUAUGAUCUCAUGAUGUGUCUUAUCUUAAAAACAAAAAGUUGUAUCAUUCUAGUAAUAGGCAAAGAAACGAAGACUGUUUGAGUAGUAAUGAGUAGCCAGAGUGCCCAGAGUUUCAUAUCUAAAUAUCUUUUUUUAUAGAAAUAGGUAAUUUCAGGACAAGUAAUGUAUAACCCUUAAAAUCUCUUAUAAAAGAAGACAAAACACUACCUUACACUAUUAGGAUAUAUUAUAUAGACUCAGGAGACAAUAUGAAGAAGUUCUUAUUGGCCAAAUUUGAGAUUAUUUUAGCAUCAGUGAGAAUCUUAACAGUGAUGGAUUAAAUAUGUUUAAAACUAUGAAUUUAAAUGGAUACUAAAAUAAAAUCCCCUUUUGCCUUCUUUGAAGGAGAGUUCAGGAAAAAAAUCAUUAUAUUGAAAGUAGAGAUAAAUAAUUGAGCAUUUUUCCUGUCUUUUCUAUAAGGUCUGUUUUUCAAGUUACAUGAAUAGUUGAUAAGAUGAUGUUUUCCAUUAAAUAUAUUCUAGGGAAUAAGUGAAUGUCAUCUCAAAAUGCCAAUGAAAUAAGAAAUCUAAUGAAUGAUCAGCAAUGAUGGCCAAAUUCAUGAAAAGAGAGAAAGUUAACACACGGCAUCUGAUAGAUGUACAUGACAUCACCAAUAAAGUAUUCUUGCCAAAAAUAAUGGAACCCGAAUUUUAUCAACCUUAGAGCUCCAAUUACAAAUAAGCAGGAAAUAUAUAGACAGUAGAGAGUAGAGCAUCAUGUUAACCUACUCCAUAGAAAAGCAAUUGCAAACAAAUCCUGACUGUGAGAAACACUAUCAGACAAAGUUUCUGGUUCUUUCAAGAAAUGAACUGCAAGAAAAAAAAAGGGAGUUUUAAAGACAGCCUAGAGAGGCUGCUUGUACCCUUCACCCAGUUUUUUCCAUUGGUUACACUUGAUGUAUGCAUUUGUGAGUUAUAUUCUUUUCCUUCUCCCUGAAGAACUUUUAACAUUUCUCACAAGUCAUAUUUUCUAGUGAUGAAUUCCCUCAGUUUUUGUCUAAGAAGGUCUUUAUUUAUUCUACAUGUUCAAAGGAUAGUUUUGCAGAACAUAGAGAACGGUCUGUAGUUCAGGGCCUUCUUCUCCACAGAAGCAAUCUUGACUGUCGAUCUCCAAAUUGGCCUGUCUCCCCAGAGUUUUAUAUUGAUGAUAAAACUGGCAGCUUCGGUUAUUGAGCAGAACUUAACAACAUUAAGAACCAGGAAUGAAAGUCUUUGAACUGAGCUGAUAUGCCUUCUUCUUUUACAUGGCUCAGAAUGAAUGCAGUCUACAGUCUUUCCUCCUCAUCCUCACAUCCACAGACUCUGCUUUUGCUCAGUGGUGUGGAAACAGCACAGAGCUGGAGAUCAGAACAACAGAUUUUGAAUAACUUCUCCAUCACUCUCUGGCCUACUAGAAAAUAUGGUAGGCUUUCUUAGCCUCAUAAUUUGAAGAGUUGUUAUGAAGAGUAUAUUCUGCUAAAUGAGAAAACAGUGGUUUGUAGAAUGUAAUGGAACCAUGGAACCUUUAAUAUAAUAGGUUUUUAAUAUCAUAAGUUGAUUCUAGAUCCUGUAAUUAAAUUGUAAAUAGAUUUGGCCUUGUGUGCACCCACUCGACUUUUUUCUAUUAAAUCUGCUAUUGGCCUAUUUUCAGUAUACAGACUUAAGGUAAGAACAUUACAUGACAGCACAUAUUAUGAAGGUGCUAAGUAAGAGUACAAAUAGGUGACUGGGUUUUAUUGCAAAGGUCAGGAAAUAGAGUUUUUAAGAUUGAUUCUGACAUAUAAUAUAUAUAUAGUGCUUUAUCCCUUUGGGCUGUCUUCCCAGUGAUUGAAAAAAAUGACUCCCCUUCAUUAAUACUUCUUUCAUCAUAGGCCAAGGUGGUUUUAUUACACUUUUCCUACAUGAGAUUUUACAUCAUCAAUAUGAAACAAAUUAUGGUGUGUACCAGUAUAUUAACCAUUCAUAAAUGAGUAAUAUUUAAAUAUGUAGUCAUAUCAUGAUGAAGUUUUACUUUUAUUAAUUAAUAUGUCUACACUAAGUUGAAUCAUCGGCUUAAAAAUCAACUUCUUUUGGUGUCAGCCCAUUUGUUUCAUUUGUUUGUCAGCCCAUUUGU